This is a long non-coding RNA of Panthera uncia (snow leopard), 508 nucleotides long. RefSeq lists it as uncharacterized. The record is from RefSeq and is a predicted model, not a curated record. NCBI's taxonomy places the organism in Eukaryota, Metazoa, Chordata, Mammalia, Carnivora, Felidae. The transcript has 3 exons.
CCCGGCCGCUCAGCCGGUUCCGGCGGCCGCGCCCGCCGCGGAGCUACGGCGUCUCCAUGGCGACAGGGCGGCGGGUGGGGCGCAAGGCGGGCGGCGCGGCGGGGGUCACGCUGAGGGCAGGGGGCGCCGGAAGUCCUUCCCUCACGUCCCCGCGCUUACUGCAGGGCCCGGCCGCUACUGAUGCCCAGGUGUGUGGACGCGGCCCCGCCAGGUCCCGGGCCCCGACCUUGACGCCGCGUGACAGGGACUGCGGCGCAGGGCGAUGAGGGGUGACAGCCGCGGCCACCGUGACCCCGGCCUUCUGGACCCGAGCUCGGCUUCCGGGGCAGCAGCCCCAGCAGGAGCAGCCAGAGCGUCCAGCAGAGCAGCAGCGAUGGGGAAGGAGUGGCAGCGAAGCAGGGGACUGGCCACUGAUGAAGAGAAGGCUGCUCCAUGCCGAACCCAGAUGUUCUGUAGACAUCAUCACAAUGCCACACAGACCUGAGAGGGGACCAGCCUGCUCUACCAU